RNAcentral lists this ribosomal RNA (251 nucleotides) under uncultured prokaryote. Its description in RNAcentral is "partial 16S rRNA". It matches the Rfam family "Bacterial small subunit ribosomal RNA", at positions 525 to 775 of the family's 1533-position model. The record is from RNAcentral.
ACGGAGGGUGCAAGCGUUAUUCGGAUUUAUUGGGCGUAAAGCGCGCGUAGGCGGCUUAUCAGGUCGGAUGUGAAAGCCCGCAGCUUAACUGCGGAAGUGCAUCCGAAACUGGCAGGCUUGAGUAUGGGAGAGGAAAGCGGAAUUCCCGGUGUAGCGGUGAAAUGCGUAGAUAUCAGGAGGAACACCUGUGGCGAAGGCGAUUUUCUGGACCAAUACUGACGCUGAUGCGCGAAAGCGCGGGGAUCAAACAG